GACGAACGCUGGCGGCGUGCUUAACACAUGCAAGUCGAACGGAAAGGCCCUGCUUUUGUGGGGUGCUCGAGUGGCGAACGGGUGAGUAACACGUGAGUAACCUGCCCUUGACUUUGGGAUAACUUCAGGAUACUGGGGCUAAUACCGGAUAGGAGCUCCUGCUGCAUGGUGGGGGUUGGAAAGUUUCGGCGGUUGGGGAUGGACUCGCGGCUUAUCAGCUUGUUGGUGGGGUAGUGGCUUACCAAGGCUUUGACGGGUAGCCGGUCUGAGAGGGUGACCGGCCACAUUGGGACUGAGAUACGGCCCAGACUCCUACGGGAGGCAGCAGUGGGGAAUAUUGCACAAUGGGCGGAAGCCUGAUGCAGCAACGCCGCGUGCGGGAUGACGGCCUUCGGGUUGUAAACCGCUUUCGCCUGUGACGAAGCGUGAGUGACGGUAAUGGGUAAAGAAGCACCGGCUAACUACGUG
RNAcentral lists this ribosomal RNA (468 nucleotides) under uncultured bacterium. RNAcentral's name for it is "partial 16S ribosomal RNA". It matches the Rfam family "Bacterial small subunit ribosomal RNA", at positions 28 to 507 of the family's 1533-position model. The record is from RNAcentral.